Molecule: ribosomal RNA, 404 nt
Filed under: uncultured bacterium
Lineage: Bacteria
Description: bacterial SSU rRNA
Rfam family: Bacterial small subunit ribosomal RNA
Source: RNAcentral
CCCCCGGGACGUAGCCCACGGGAAACCGUACGGAUUAAUACCGGAUGAGACGGGACCCCGCGAUGGCGGGACCCGGGAAAGGCGCUGCGGCGCCGCCGGGGGGAUGAGUCUGCGUCCCAUUAGCUAGACGGCGGGUAACGGCCCACCGUGGCGACGAUGGGUAGCCGGCCUGAGAGGGUGGACGGCCACAUUGGAACUGAGACACGGUCCAGACUCCUACGGGAGGCAGCAGCUAAGAAUCUUCCGCAAUGGGCGAAAGCCUGACGGAGCCGACGCCGCGUGAACGAAGAAGGCCGUGGGGUUGUAAAGUUCUUUUCGGGAGGGGGAACAACCGUGGCAGGGAAUGGCCGCGGGAUGACGUGAAUCCCGGAAUAAGCCCCGGCUAACUACGUGCCAGCCGCGGC